UACAGAGGGGGCAAGCGUUGUUCGGAAUUACUGGGCGUAAAGGGCGCGUAGGCGGCCUGCUAAGUCGAACGUGAAAUCCCUGGGCUCAACCCAGGAACUGCGUCCGAUACUGGUUGGCUUGAAUCCGGGAGAGGGAUGUGGAAUUCCAGGUGUAGCGGUGAAAUGCGUAGAUAUCGUAAGGAAGACCAGCGGCGAAGGCGGAUCUCUGGACAGUUACUGACACUGAGGCACGAAGGCCAGGGGAGCAAACGGG
Molecule: ribosomal RNA, 253 nt
Filed under: uncultured bacterium
Lineage: Bacteria
Description: partial 16S ribosomal RNA
Rfam family: Bacterial small subunit ribosomal RNA
Source: RNAcentral